UUGAAUUAUAAGCAGAGGUUUGUUGCUGGCCCCUCGGGGAAUGUGCACGCCCGAGCUCUUAAUCCACUCACACCUGUGAACUCAAUGUGGGAGUGCCCCUCGGGGUGCAUCUCAUGUCUUUCAUAUACUCUUAAUGCAUGUCUCAGAAUGUCUUAUUGUUGCUUUAAUGCAUAUUAUAUAUA
Molecule: unclassified non-coding RNA, 182 nt
Filed under: uncultured Atheliaceae
Lineage: Eukaryota; Fungi; Basidiomycota; Agaricomycetes; Atheliales; Atheliaceae
Description: sequence contains ITS1
Source: RNAcentral